Molecule: ribosomal RNA, 540 nt
Filed under: Staphylococcus warneri
Lineage: Bacteria; Bacillati; Bacillota; Bacilli; Caryophanales; Staphylococcaceae
Description: bacterial SSU rRNA
Rfam family: Bacterial small subunit ribosomal RNA
Source: RNAcentral
CGCUCUAGAGAUAGAGUCUUCCCCUUCGGGGGACAAAGUGACAGGUGGUGCAUGGUUGUCGUCAGCUCGUGUCGUGAGAUGUUGGGUUAAGUCCCGCAACGAGCGCAACCCUUAAGCUUAGUUGCCAUCAUUAAGUUGGGCACUCUAAGUUGACUGCCGGUGACAAACCGGAGGAAGGUGGGGAUGACGUCAAAUCAUCAUGCCCCUUAUGAUUUGGGCUACACACGUGCUACAAUGGACAAUACAAAGGGCAGCUAAACCGCGAGGUCAAGCAAAUCCCAUAAAGUUGUUCUCAGUUCGGAUUGUAGUCUGCAACUCGACUACAUGAAGCUGGAAUCGCUAGUAAUCGUAGAUCAGCAUGCUACGGUGAAUACGUUCCCGGGUCUUGUACACACCGCCCGUCACACCACGAGAGUUUGUAACACCCGAAGCCGGUGGAGUAACCAUUUAUGGAGCUAGCCGUCGAAGGUGGGACAAAUGAUUGGGGUGAAGUCGUAACAAGGUAGCCGUAUCGGAAGGUGCGGCUGGAUCACCUCCUUU